This 106-nucleotide non-coding RNA is filed under the name bovine gut metagenome. Its description in RNAcentral is "FMN riboswitch (RFN element)". It matches the Rfam family "FMN riboswitch aptamer (RFN element)". From Rfam's summary of the family: The RFN element is a highly conserved domain that is found frequently in the 5'-untranslated regions of prokaryotic mRNAs that encode for flavin mononucleotide (FMN) biosynthesis and transport proteins. This element is a metabolite-dependent riboswitch that directly binds FMN in the absence of proteins. In Bacillus subtilis, the riboswitch most likely controls gene expression by causing premature transcription termination within the 5' untranslated region of the ribDEAHT operon and precluding access to the ribosome-binding site of ypaA mRNA. The record is from RNAcentral.
CUUCGGGGCAGGGUGAGAUUCCCUACCGGCGGUAGAGCCCGCGAGCGAGUAAUCGUUGAUUUGGUGUGAUUCCAAAGCCGACAGUGACAGUCUGGAUGAUAGAAGU